Sander lucioperca (pikeperch) is the source of this 359-nucleotide long non-coding RNA. RefSeq lists it as uncharacterized. The transcript has 3 exons. Lineage: Eukaryota; Metazoa; Chordata; Actinopteri; Perciformes; Percidae. The record is from RefSeq and is a predicted model, not a curated record.
GUUGUUUAAGUCCGCGGCAUUUAGGCAUGAUUGUAUUUAGGCUAAAUGCUAACGGACUGGAUUAAACACUGGACAACAGCUGUUGUGACCAACGACUGGAUUAAAACACAUUUUGCAAUCUAACGCUAGCACAGCAGCGGACCAUGUCAUCAGAACAGCAACACGUAAAUGUCACACCACAGCCACAUGACAUGCUGAGACAGCAGUUGAUGGAGAGACUUCUUACCAAACUGCAAUCUGCCAUAAACCAGCAACCGCUAAAUUUGGAUUAUUUGGAGUUCCUGACACGCCAUGAGCUUAUUCUGUUUGAAUCGUUCUCUGAGCAGAUAGGCGGUGUAUCAAACAUUACAGAAGCAUUA